RNAcentral lists this long non-coding RNA (209 nucleotides) under Gossypium raimondii (Peruvian cotton). RNAcentral describes it as "long non-coding RNA (GRAI_LNC003188)". Lineage: Eukaryota; Viridiplantae; Streptophyta; Magnoliopsida; Malvales; Malvaceae. The record is from RNAcentral.
GAAGUUCUUAGAUAGUUUUAAAGGGUUAGGGAUGUGACAAUGUGCCUCAACACACAUAGAUUUCAUAUGUCAUGGCGAGAUAGGGCCAUCACCUGGGAAACCAAUCAUGGGGAAAUCAGUUUUUAGGGGCAACAAUGCUUGAUACAAUCAGAGGCUGAAGUCUUGGUGGAAGUUCUAAUCGGCGACUAUAAUGCUAUCAUGUGUUCGAG